UUGUGUACUUUAGAUAUUUCAAAAAAUUUAUAUUUUAUCAAGAAAACGGAACUCUUGGGAAUUGUGAAGUUAGGUUUGCAAAUUUUGACCAAUGAGCGAGUGCGUAUGCGCGAUUGGGCGUAACUUUUGAUUCACGAACUCUUCCGAAAGGAGGUCGAAACUUACAAAAAAUAACACUAACGAGGCGUAUGAAGAUGUUCUUAAGUUUAUGAUAAUAAAUAUAAAUAUUGUAAUAUACAAAUAUACCUAAAUAUUAAUUUUUAAGUCCGAUAUCCUAGAAUAACGUUGUAUUUUCUAAAGCAACUACAAGCACACGAAGUUAUCAAAAUAGUUGCAAUUACACUUGGCGAACAGGAAAUUCCACGACGUUGUUGGUUAAAUGCGAUUAACCGAUUUGUUGUGCAUAGCUUGUCGACUGGCGGCGAUAUUAUUAAGGGUUAAGAUUUCCAAGGACGAUGGAUAUACACGAGCUAUCCUCCAUUGGAUACAAUGGUAAUUAGUCUUAUCUCGAGCCAACAAGAUUGCAAGGGAGAAUUCGUGCAACAGAGAGAACAGAUAAUACAAGCCGGAGGAGAUUGUUUCCAAGCUGAAAUUCCGCCGCGUCUACCGCUUCGCUAAUAUCCUGUGUCCAAAAUCUAACGUCGAAUCUCGACGUUCAAAUGUCGGUGAGAAUACCAAUUUCAAGCCGUUUCAAGGAAACUAGUCUCAAACGAGUCCGCUUAUCUUUCUGCGUUGGCGGAUGACGUUCAAGAAAAAUUCAAGAUGUAAAAAUAAAAAUAAUAUCAUUUGGAAUUACAAUUGCAAAGGAGAAAAAUGAAUCCAGUAUUUAAACGAGAAUUAUCAUUCCUGGCCGAACAGUAACGACAAAGUUAAUGCUGAAAGUAUAGCGGGCGUGGUUACCUAGUUUACAAGUUGCGUACUUUUGAUUACACCGUCGAAAAACACAACGGCAACGGGAAUCGCGUUUUGAGCACAGUUUCAGAAGUUAGCUUAUAAGAUCGACGGAAAUAUAAGAUACUAGAAAGCGGCAGAAGUUGGGUAAAAGAAAGUUUCUCGCAAAAUUCCACAGACCAAGUGAACAAUCUUAUUCCUCUUGAAACGUGGAUACAUAUUUCUUAACCGUUCAAAGCUUCCUGUACAUACUUCCGGUAUGCAAAUGAAAACACGACAAUUGCUUGUUACUUUUAUGUCAAGUACAUAUUUGAAUAGAGUAGGAGAAGGAAUAAAAAGAGAGAAAAGUACUUACGACUUUCAAUGAAAUCUCGCGUUGCACUGGAUGAAAUUAUUUAAAGAAGACUGCUCUUUGAAAUCGCUUGCCUGACGGGAAGCCACGAAGGGAAACGAAGGGUGCAUCACCCUUAGUGAGAGUCGUAAGAAAAGAGAUCCCUAUUUCCCGUCCUAUAGGCAAUUUGACUUUUCUGCCCUUUGAGUCAAUGAUCCUGGUUGUAAAGGAAGAAUCACUCCCGAGUAAACCUCUCUACUAUAAGGGCCCUUUGAAUAAGAUGGUUCAUUUACUCUAGUAGAUAAUAAAAUUAUUAAUAUUUCAUCAUUAGCUUCUACAAUUUUUGUAACUGAACGACAGCCACGAGUUAACAAGUUCAGUUUGUGUCAUCGUUAUAAAAGAAGAGAGAUUAAUGGGUGGAAGAAAAGUAGACUCGAAAAAAAGGCAUUGUACCUAACACUUUACAGCUAUAACGAAAGAUAAUAGGGUGCCAUUAGAACGUAACAUGUUUCAAGGCACCUAAUACGUUUACGCAUCCGCUUAGAACACAGCUUACGAACCCGAUACAACCUAAUUAUCGCAUAGGUGAACACCAGAGCGUGUCUAACCUAUUAUUUUCAACCGAUAGUAUGGAACUAAUGUAAUUAUAUAUCCCAUUCCGCUUUUGAUGCGGUUUUAAUCUGGUUCGCUUCGCCGUAACCACGUUCUUACAUCGUUCAUACACUCCUCGCGAUCUAUUACUUACCAGAAACAACAAAUUUCCGCUGGUUUAUGUCUUUAAUAACGCAAGGUGUUAUGUUACACCUGCGAUAUGUGUUUUGUAAUUUCAAAAAGUUUCAAAAUUUCGAAAUCCAAAUCGUAUUUAAUUGAUAGCAGUGCGAGUUAACAAAAAUAGUUCAGAAAUCAGUCGAAAUUCCAGAGAUAUGCAUAUUGAGAAAAUAUCGUAUAAAAAAGACUCCACCAAUCAAUACACAUCAAAUUAUUAACAAUUAUCGUGAAAAGCGAUUGGUAAAAAUGUUUCAAAACACACCAGCACGCAACAUAGUUUUUUGUUAUCGAAACGCAGUGUAAACUUUUUAUUAUUCAAAAUAUUAAAUCAUUUAAAACGUCAUGUAGCGUAGAGAAACAAGCAUUUCCCGUAUACGUCAAUUAAUGGUUUUUGGUAGCGUUAACUCGUCAUUCGGGACUUGGUGCAUCGCGUAUUAUUCCCGUGUCAAUUAAAAUAUUUUAUUUUAACAAUAGAAACAAAAAACAAAGUGGUAAAUGAAUUGGAUGUCUGUGAAAUUUCAAUCAAAGCAACACACUGUGUUGCUUUCGCAUAUUCUAUCCGAAA
Molecule: non-coding RNA, 2555 nt
Organism: Osmia lignaria (orchard mason bee)
Lineage: Eukaryota; Metazoa; Arthropoda; Insecta; Hymenoptera; Megachilidae
Source: RefSeq, a predicted model, not a curated record